GACAGAGGGGGCAAGCGUUGCUCGGAAUCACUGGGCGUAAGGGCGCGUAGGCGGUCCCGUCAGUCCCUUGUGAAAUCCCCCGGCUCAACUGGGGAACUGCAAGGGAUACAGCGGGGCUUGAGUUCGGGAGAGGGAAGCGGAAUUCCGGGUGUAGCGGUGAAAUGCGUAGAUAUCCGGAGGAACACCGGUGGCGAAGGCGGCUUCCUGGACCGAUACUGACGCUGAGGCGCGAAAGCUAGGGGAGCAAACGGG
Molecule: ribosomal RNA, 252 nt
Filed under: uncultured bacterium
Lineage: Bacteria
Description: partial 16S ribosomal RNA
Rfam family: Bacterial small subunit ribosomal RNA
Source: RNAcentral